GAUGAACGCUGGCGGCGUGCCUAAUACAUGCAAGUCGAGCGAACGGACGAGAAGCUUGCUUCUCUGAUGUUAGCGGCGGACGGGUGAGUAACACGUGGAUAACCUACCUAUAAGACUGGGAUAACUUCGGGAAACCGGAGCUAAUACCGGAUAAUAUUUUGAACCGCAUGGUUCAAAAGUGAAAGACGGUCUUGCUGUCACUUAUAGAUGGAUCCGCGCUGCAUUAGCUAGUUGGUAAGGUAACGGCUUACCAAGGCAACGAUGCAUAGCCGACCUGAGAGGGUGAUCGGCCACACUGGAACUGAGACACGGUCCAGACUCCUACGGGAGGCGGCAGUAGGGAAUCUUCCGCAAUGGGCGAAAGCCUGACGGAGCAACGCCGCGUGAGUGAUGAAGGUCUUCGGAUCGUAAAACUCUGUUAUUAGGGAAGAACAUAUGUGUAAGUAACUGUGCACAUCUUGACGGUACCUAAUCAGAAAGCCACGGCUAACUACGUGCCAGCAGCCGCGGUAAUACGUAGGUGGCAAGCGUUAUCCGGAAUUAUUGGGCGUAAAGCGCGCGUAGGCGGUUUUUUAAGUCUGAUGUGAAAGCCCACGGCUCAACCGUGGAGGGUCAUUGGAAACUGGAAAACUUGAGUGCAGAAGAGGAAAGUGGAAUUCCAUGUGUAGCGGUGAAAUGCGCAGAGAUAUGGAGGAACACCAGUGGCGAAGGCGACUUUCUGGUCUGUAACUGACGCUGAUGUGCGAAAGCGUGGGGAUCAAACAGGAUUAGAUACCCUGGUAGCCCACGCCGUGAACGAUGAGUGCUAAGUGUUAGGGGGUUUCCGCCCCUUAGUGCUGCAGCUAACGCAUUAAGCACUCCGCCUGGGGAGUACGACCGCAAGGUUGAAACUCAAAGGAAUUGACGGGGACCCGCACAAGCGGUGGAGCAUGUGGUUUAAUUCGAAGCAACGCGAAGAACCUUACCAAAUCUUGACAUCCUUUGACAACUCUAGAGAUAGAGCCUUCCCCUUCGGGGGACAAAGUGACAGGUGGUGCAUGGUUGUCGUCAGCUCGUGUCGUGAGAUGUUGGGUUAAGUCCCGCAACGAGCGCAACCCUUAAGCUUAGUUGCCAUCAUUAAGUUGGGCACUCUAAGUUGACUGCCGGUGACAAACCGGAGGAAGGUGGGGAUGACGUCAAAUCAUCAUGCCCCUUAUGAUUUGGGCUACACACGUGCUACAAUGGACAAUACAAAGGGCAGCGAAACCGCGAGGUCAAGCAAAUCCCAUAAAGUUGUUCUCAGUUCGGAUUGUAGUCUGCAACUCGACUACAUGAAGCUGGAAUCGCUAGUAAUCGUAGAUCAGCAUGCUACGGUGAAUACGUUCCCGGGUCU
Molecule: ribosomal RNA, 1372 nt
Filed under: uncultured bacterium
Lineage: Bacteria
Description: bacterial SSU rRNA
Rfam family: Bacterial small subunit ribosomal RNA
Source: RNAcentral